Molecule: ribosomal RNA, 253 nt
Filed under: uncultured bacterium
Lineage: Bacteria
Description: partial 16S ribosomal RNA
Rfam family: Bacterial small subunit ribosomal RNA
Source: RNAcentral
UACGAAGGGGGCUAGCGUUGCUCGGAAUCACUGGGCGUAAAGCGCACGUAGGCGGCUUGUUAAGUCAGGGGUGAAAUCCUGGAGCUCAACUCCAGAACUGCCUUUGAUACUGGCGAGCUUGAGUUCGGGAGAGGUGAGUGGAACUGCGAGUGUAGAGGUGAAAUUCGUAGAUAUUCGCAAGAACACCAGUGGCGAAGGCGGCUCACUGGCCCGAUACUGACGCUGAGGUGCGAAAGCGUGGGGAGCAAGCAGG